GGACGAUUAGCUCAGUUGGCUAGAGCGCUUCCUUGACAUGGAAGAGGUCACAGGUUCAAGUCCUGUAUCGUCCACCA
RNAcentral lists this transfer RNA (77 nucleotides) under Pseudomonadota bacterium. RNAcentral's name for it is "tRNA-Val". It matches the Rfam family "tRNA". From Rfam's summary of the family: Transfer RNA (tRNA) molecules are approximately 80 nucleotides in length. Their secondary structure includes four short double-helical elements and three loops (D, anti-codon, and T loops). The record is from RNAcentral. Lineage: Bacteria; Pseudomonadati; Pseudomonadota. RNAcentral also lists the same sequence under 4 other names.